AUUGAACGCUGGCGGCAGGCCUAACACAUGCAGUCGAACGGUAACGGGAAGCAGCUUGCUGCUUCGCUGACGAGUGGCGGACGGGUGAGUAAUGUCUGGGAAACUGCCUGAUGGAGGGGGAUAACUACUGGAAACGGUAGCUAAUACCGCAUAACGUCGCAAGACCAAAGAGGGGGACCUUCGGGCCUCCUGCCAUCGGAUGUGCCCAGAUGGGAUUAGCUAGUAGGUGGGGUAACUGCUCACCUAGGCGACGAUCCCUAGCUGGUCUGAGAGGAUGACCAGCCACACUGGAACUGAGACACGGUCCAGACUCCUACGGGAGGCAGCAGUGGGGAAUAUUGCACAAUGGGCGCAAGCCUGAUGCAGCCAUGCCGCGUGUAUGAAGAAGGCCUUCGGGUUGUAAAGUACUUUCAGCGGGGAGGAAGGCGAUAAGGUUAAUAACCUUGUCGAUUGACGUUACCCGCAGAAGAAGCACCGGCUAACUCCGUGCCAGCCGCCGCGGUAA
Molecule: ribosomal RNA, 505 nt
Filed under: uncultured bacterium
Lineage: Bacteria
Description: partial 16S ribosomal RNA
Rfam family: Bacterial small subunit ribosomal RNA
Source: RNAcentral